GGGUGGGAUGAGUAUUCUAAGGCGCGUGGAAGAACUCUCUUUAAGGAACUCUGCAAAAUAGCACCGUAUCUUCGGUAUAAGGUGUGGUUAGCUUUGUAUUAGGAUUUACUCCGAAAGCAAGGAAACUUACAACAAAGAGUCCCACCCGACUGUUUACCAAAAACACAGCACUCUGCUAACUCGCAAGAGGAUGUAUAGGGGGUGACGCCUGCCCGGUGCUCGAAGGUUAAUUGAUGGGGUUAGCAUUAGCGAAGCUCUUGAUCGAAGCCCGAGUAAACGGCGGCCGUAACUAUAACGGUCCUAAGGUAGCGAAAUUCCUUGGCGGUUAAAUACCGACCUGCAUGUAUAGCGUAACGAGAUGGGGCAUGUCUCAAAGAGGGAUCCAGUGAAAUUGUAGUGGAGGUGAAAAUUCCUCCUACCCGCGGCAAGACGGAAAGACCCCGUGGACCUUUACUACAGCUUGACACUGCUACUUGGAUAAGAAUGUGCAGGAUAGGUGGGAGGCUUUGAGUAUAUGACGCCAGUUGUAUAUGAGCCAUUGUUGAGAUACCACUCUUUCUUAUUUGGGUAGCUAACCAGCUUGAGUUAUCCUCAAGUGGGACAAUGUCUGGUGGGUAGUUUGACUGGGGCGGUCGCCUCCCAAAUAAUAACGGAGGCUUACAAAGGUUGGCUCAGAACGGUUGGAAAUCGUUCGUAGAGUAUAAAGGUAUAAGCCAGCUUAACUGCAAGACAUACAAGUCAAGCAGAGACGAAAGUCGGUCUUAGUGAUCCGGUGGUUCUGUGUGGAAGGGCCAUCGCUCAAAGGAUAAAAGGUACCCCGGGGAUAACAGGCUGAUCUCCCCCAAGAGCUCACAUCGACGGGGAGGUUUGGCACCUCGAUGUCGGCUCAUCGCAUCCUGGGGCUGGGGCAGGUCCCAAGGGUAUGGCUGUUCGCCAUUUAAAGCGGUACGCGAGCUGGGUUCAGAACGUCGUGAGACAGUUCGGUCCCUAUCUGCCGUGGGCGUAAGAAGAUUGAAGAGAUUUGACCCUAGUAC
Molecule: ribosomal RNA, 1034 nt
Filed under: Campylobacter jejuni
Lineage: Bacteria; Pseudomonadati; Campylobacterota; Epsilonproteobacteria; Campylobacterales; Campylobacteraceae
Description: bacterial LSU rRNA
Rfam family: Bacterial large subunit ribosomal RNA
Source: RNAcentral